This 497-nucleotide ribosomal RNA is filed under the name uncultured bacterium. RNAcentral describes it as "partial 16S ribosomal RNA". It matches the Rfam family "Bacterial small subunit ribosomal RNA", at positions 28 to 507 of the family's 1533-position model. The record is from RNAcentral.
GAUGAACGCUGGCGGCGUGCCUAAUACAUGCAAGUCGAGCGAACAGACGAGGAGCUUGCUCCUCUGACGUUAGCGGCGGACGGGUGAGUAACACGUGGAUAACCUACCUAUAAGACUGGGAUAACUUCGGGAAACCGGAGCUAAUACCGGAUAAUAUAUUGAACCGCAUGGUUCAAUAGUGAAAGACGGUUUUGCUGUCACUUAUAGAUGGAUCCGCGCCGCAUUAGCUAGUUGGUAAGGUAACGGCUUACCAAGGCAACGAUGCGUAGCCGACCUGAGAGGGUGAUCAGCCACACUAGAACUGGGACACGCUCCAGACUCCUACGGGGGGCAGCAGUAGGGAAUCUUCCGCAAUGGGCGAAAGCCUGACGGAGCAACGCAGCGUGAGUGAUGAAGGUCUUCGGAUCGUAAAACUCUGUUAUUAGGGAAGAACAAAUGUGUAAGUAACUAUGUACGUCUUGACGGUACCUAAUCAGAAAGCCACGGCUAACUACGUG